Molecule: ribosomal RNA, 254 nt
Filed under: uncultured bacterium
Lineage: Bacteria
Description: partial 16S ribosomal RNA
Rfam family: Bacterial small subunit ribosomal RNA
Source: RNAcentral
UACGUAGGGCGCAAGCGUUGUCCGGAAUUAUUGGGCGUAAAGAGCUCGUAGGCGGUGUGUCGCGUCGGCCGUGAAAACCUGCAGCUUAACUGUGGGCUUGCGGUCGAUACGGGCAUCACUGGAGUUCGGCAGGGGAGACUGGAAUUCCUGGUGUAGCGGUGAAAUGCGCAGAUAUCAGGAGGAACACCUGUGGCGAAGGCGGCCCCCUGGUUGGAUACUGACGCUGAGACGCGAAAGCGUGGGGAGCAAACAGG